Molecule: ribosomal RNA, 675 nt
Filed under: Stenotrophomonas rhizophila
Lineage: Bacteria; Pseudomonadati; Pseudomonadota; Gammaproteobacteria; Lysobacterales; Lysobacteraceae
Description: bacterial SSU rRNA
Rfam family: Bacterial small subunit ribosomal RNA
Source: RNAcentral
GAAUCUACCUUUUCUUGGGGGAUAACGUAAGGAAACUUACGCUAAUACCGCAUACCACCUUCGGGUGAAUGCAGGGGACCUUCGGGCCUUGCGCGGAUAGAUGAGCCGAUGUCGGAUUAGCUAGUUGGCGGGGUAAAGGCCCACCAAGGCGACAAUCCGUAGCUGGUCUGAGAGGAUGAUCAGCCACACUGGAACUGACACACGGUCCCCACUCCUACGGGAGGCAGCAGUGGGGAAUAUUGGACAAUGGGCGCAAGCCUGAUCCAGCCAUACCGCGUGGGUGAAGAAGGCCUUCGGGUUGUAAAGCCCUUUUGUUGGGAAAGAAAAGCAAUCGGCUAAUACCCGGUUGUUCUGACGGUACCCAAAGAAUAAGCACCGGCUAACUUCGUGCCAGCAACCGCGGUAAUACGAAGGGUGCAAUCGUUACUCGGAAUUACUGGGCCUAAAGCGUGCGUACGUGGUUGUUUAAGUCUGUUGUGAAAUCCCUGGGCUCAACCUGGGAAUUGCCGUGGAUACUGGGCGACUAGAGUGUGGUAUAGGGUAUUGGAAUUCCCGGUGUACCAGUGAAAUGCGUAGAGAUCGGGAGGAACAUCCAUGGCGAAGGCAGCUACCUGGACCAACACUGACACUGAGGCACGAAAGCGUGGGGAGCAAACAGGAUUAGAUACCCUGGUA